Molecule: ribosomal RNA, 234 nt
Filed under: uncultured microorganism
Description: partial 16S ribosomal RNA
Rfam family: Bacterial small subunit ribosomal RNA
Source: RNAcentral
GAGUUUGAUCUUGGCUCAGAUUGAACGCUGGCGGCAUGCCUUACACAUGCAAGUCGAACGGCAGCAUGAUCUAGCUUGCUAGAUUGAUGGCGAGUGGCGAACGGGUGAGUAAUACAUCGGAACGUGCCCGUGUAGUGGGGAUAACUAGUCGAAAGAUUAGCUAAUACCGCAUACGACCUGAGGGUGAAAGUGGGGACCGCAAGGCCUCAUGCUAUAGGAGCGGCCGAUGUCUGA